AGUGAACGCUGGCGGUAGGCCUAACACAUGCAAGUCGAACGGCAGCACAGUAAGAGCUUGCUCUUACGGGUGGCGAGUGGCGGACGGGUGAGGAAUACAUCGGAAUCUACUUUUUCGUGGGGGAUAACGUAGGGAAACUUACGCUAAUACCGCAUACGACCUACGGGUGAAAGCAGGAGAUCUUCGGACCUUGCGCGUUUGAAUGAGACGAUGUCGGAUUAGCUAGUUGGCGGGGUAAAGGCACACCAAGGCGACGAUGCGUAGCCGGCCUGAGAGGAUGAUCAGCCACACUGGAACUGAGACACGGUCCAGACUCCUACGGGAGGCAGCAGUAGGGAAUAUUCCGCAAUGGGCGCAAGCCUGAUCCAGCCACGCCGCGUGGGUGAUGAAGGUCUUCGGGUCGUAAAGCUCUUUUGUUGGGAAAGAAAAACAGCAUGUUAAUCUCUCGCUGUUUUGACGGUACCCAAAGAAUAAGCACCGGCUAACUUCGUG
Molecule: ribosomal RNA, 492 nt
Filed under: uncultured bacterium
Lineage: Bacteria
Description: partial 16S ribosomal RNA
Rfam family: Bacterial small subunit ribosomal RNA
Source: RNAcentral